RNAcentral lists this ribosomal RNA (872 nucleotides) under Winogradskyella sp. Its description in RNAcentral is "bacterial SSU rRNA". It matches the Rfam family "Bacterial small subunit ribosomal RNA", at positions 10 to 873 of the family's 1533-position model. The record is from RNAcentral. Lineage: Bacteria; Pseudomonadati; Bacteroidota; Flavobacteriia; Flavobacteriales; Flavobacteriaceae.
AGUUUGGAUCCUGGCUCAGGAUGAACGCUAGCGGCAGGCCUAACACAUGCAAGUCGAACGGUAACAGGGAUUAGCUUGCUAAUUUGCUGACGAGUGGCGCACGGGUGCGUAACGCGUAUACAAUCUACCUUUUACAGGGGGAUAGCCUUUAGAAAUGAAGAUUAAUACCCCAUAGUAUAUAGAUUUGGCAUCGGAUUUAUAUUAAAGAUUUAUCGGUAAAAGAUGAGUAUGCGUCCUAUUAGUUAGUUGGUGUGGUAACGGCACACCAAGACAGCGAUAGGUAGGGGCCCUGAGAGGGGGAUCCCCCACACUGGUACUGAGACACGGACCAGACUCCUACGGGAGGCAGCAGUGAGGAAUAUUGGACAAUGGGCGCGAGCCUGAUCCAGCCAUGCCGCGUGCAGGAAGACUGCCCUAUGGGUUGUAAACUGCUUUUGUACAGGAAGAACCCCCCGAACGUGUUCGGGGCUGACGGUACUGUAAGAAUAAGGAUCGGCUAACUCCGUGCCAGCAGCCGCGGUAAUACGGAGGAUCCAAGCGUUAUCCGGAAUCAUUGGGUUUAAAGGGUCCGUAGGUGGAUAAUUAAGUCAGAGGUGAAAUCCUGCAGCUCAACUGUAGAAUUGCCUUUGAUACUGGUUAUCUUGAAUCAUUGUGAAGUAGUUAGAAUAUGUAGUGUAGCGGUGAAAUGCAUAGAUAUUACAUAGAAUACCGAUUGCGAAGGCAGAUUACUAACAAUGUAUUGACACUGAUGGACGAAAGCGUGGGGAGCGAACAGGAUUAGAUACCCUGGUAGUCCACGCCGUAAACGAUGGUCACUAGCUGUUCGAACUUCGGUUUGAGUGGCUAAGCGAAAGUGAUAAGUGACCCCCCCU